This 253-nucleotide ribosomal RNA is filed under the name uncultured bacterium. RNAcentral's name for it is "partial 16S ribosomal RNA". It matches the Rfam family "Bacterial small subunit ribosomal RNA", at positions 524 to 776 of the family's 1533-position model. The record is from RNAcentral.
UACGUAGGCAGCAAGCGUUGUUCGGAAUUACUGGGCGUAAAGCGCGCGUAGGCGGCUUUGUAAGUUAGAGGUGAAAGCCCGGAGCUCAACUCCGGAACUGCCUUUAAGACUGCAUCGCUAGAAUUGUGGAGAGGUGAGUGGAAUUCCGAGUGUAGAGGUGAAAUUCGUAGAUAUUCGGAAGAACACCAGUGGCGAAGGCGACUCACUGGACACAUAUUGACGCUGAGGUGCGAAAGCGUGGGGAGCAAACAGG